CCGGCGCACGGGUGAGUAACGCGUAUGCGACCUGCCCGUUGCGAGGGGGAUAAGUCGGGAGAAAUCCCGUCUAAUACCGCGUAACGCCGCGGGGCUGCAUGGCCCUGCGGCCAAAGGGAGCGAUUCCGGCAACGGAUGGGCAUGCGUGACAUUAGCUAGUUGGCGGGGCAACGGCCCACCAAGGCGACGAUGUCUAGGGGUUCUGAGAGGAAGGUCCCCCACACUGGUACUGAGACACGGACCAGACUCCUACGGAAGGCAGCAG
RNAcentral lists this ribosomal RNA (265 nucleotides) under uncultured bacterium. Its description in RNAcentral is "partial 16S ribosomal RNA". It matches the Rfam family "Bacterial small subunit ribosomal RNA", at positions 95 to 354 of the family's 1533-position model. The record is from RNAcentral.